AGUUUGACCUCAAAUCAGGUAGGAUUACCCGCUGAACUUAAGCAUAUCAAUAAGCGGAGGAAAAGAAACCAACAGGGAUUGCCUCAGUAACGGCGAGUGAAGCGGCAAAAGCUCAAAUUUGAAAUCUGGUACCUUCGGUGCCCGAGUUGUAAUUUGAAGGUAGUUUUCUGGUGCUGGUCCUUGUCUAUGUUCCUUGGAACAGGACGUCAUAGAGGGUGAGAAUCCCGUCUGAUGGGGAAUCCAGUGCUAUGUAGAUUUCUACCGACGAGUCGAGUUGUUUGGGAAUGCAGCUCUAAGUGGGUGGUAAAUUCCAUCUAAAGCUAAAUAUUGGCGAGAGACCGAUAGCGAACAAGUACAGUGAUGGAAAGAUGAAAAGAACUUUGAAAAGAGAGUGAAAAAGUACGUGAAAUUGUUGAAAGGGAAGGAUAUUGGAUCAGACUUGGUGUUUUGUGAUUAUCUUCCCCUUGUGGGUUGUGCACUCGCAUUUCACUGGGCCAGCAUCGGUUCGGAUGGCAAGAUAAUGGCGCAGGAACGUGGCACUCUUCGGGGUGUGUUAUAGCCUGUGUUGAUGUUGCCUAUCUGGACCGAGGACUGCGGCUUGCCUAGAUGUCGCGA
This 615-nucleotide ribosomal RNA is filed under the name Petasospora adriatica. RNAcentral's name for it is "eukaryotic LSU rRNA". It matches the Rfam family "Eukaryotic large subunit ribosomal RNA", at positions 1 to 623 of the family's 3401-position model. Lineage: Eukaryota; Fungi; Ascomycota; Saccharomycetes; Phaffomycetales; Wickerhamomycetaceae. The record is from RNAcentral.